RNAcentral lists this ribosomal RNA (172 nucleotides) under uncultured bacterium. RNAcentral's name for it is "partial 16S ribosomal RNA". It matches the Rfam family "Bacterial small subunit ribosomal RNA", at positions 1328 to 1500 of the family's 1533-position model. The record is from RNAcentral.
GGAAUUGCUAGUAGUGGCAGGUCAGCAUACUGCCGUGAAUACGUUCCCGGGCCUUGUACACACCGCCCGUCACACCAUGAGAGUUGGAAAUACCCGAAGCCUGUGAGCUAACUUAAAGAGGCAGCAGUCGAAGGUAGAGCCAAUGAUUGGGGUGAAGUCGUAACAAGGUAGC